UUGAAAUGGAAAAUUUGCUGGAGAAAGUUGAUUAAGUAACAUUUCACGGAAGAGGAGAAUUGUAAUAACCAUUUGAUAGAAGAGAGAUGUCCUUGAACUCAAUCUAUCCUGAAGAUGCUCCUGAGAGGGCAAACAAAUAACAUCUCUCUGGAAGGAUGCCUGCCUUUGUCAAAGCUUUCAAAUCUGUAUGACUUCUAUCUUUCCUUGGCUUCCCUUACUCAAUUAGUCAAGGAUCCUUGUGGAUGUUUAACAUAAAAUGUCACUCACAUCUGCCCUCCUCCUCAACUUUCCAUUCCAUCCUCUCCACAGAUGCCUGAUGCAUUUUCUUCUGACUCAGUCUUCUGUUUUUCAUGGAGAACACAGAGCAAGACAGAAGCUCCCAACUGUGGCAUCCAAGAGCAACUUGAGCUGCUCCCUUACUUAUCUCUGGUCUGGCUCAAACUCUUUGUGAUGACUGUUCUACCAUAUGGCUUAAUAGCUAAGUACACAUGCAUUGACCUCAAGCCUUCCCACAGCUCAGGUUCCUGAGGCACAGACUCUGGAUGGAAAUUAGCACAUAAUAGGUUUAUUAGAAAGUGCUCUUGGAAUUAACAUCUUUGGAGGAAGAAAAGAAGCAAUAUUGUCCAGAGAGGGAAGUUGAACUGCAAUGAAGUUGCCACAGAGGCUUCAAUGAAUCCUUCUGGGUGUAGAGCUGGGAUGACCUUUCCAGAGUUUUCCAAUUAAGGGAAUUGUAUCUCACCUCAAUCUCUAGUCUGAACCUUGGGUGAGGCAGCUUCUUUCAGCCAAUGGCAAUUCCUGGAGGCACCAGGAGUUAUGAGCAGUCAACACUCUUUCUUUGCUCCUGAGAAAAUUGAGUGCCCUCUUUGGUCCUGAAAGCAGCUCUGGGCAGCACUCCACAGCAUCCACUACAGACUUAGUGAGUUCACCCUGGCUCUCCCACUUACAGAUUGCAGCUUUCAGUUGCGACCUUAGGAAUGAGCUCACAAUUGGAAGCAAAUCUGUCUUCUGUUUCUACUGUUAAAGAAUUACCUACCCACUGACAAAAACACAUAGGAUUAACAAUGGCUUUGUCCCAGAUAGAUGCUUUUUGGAAUUGUACAAACUGUAUUUAUGAUGCUUGUACAUUUUGGUCCAACUUUUAAAUAUUUCAAUAAGACUGAUUGAAUUCUUAGUAAAUAGAAUACUUCCUCUGUUCAGUUUUGCUCUGUUGAAUGCUGGAAGUUUGGUGAGUCUGACCCACUACACGUAUCUCAGAUGAUUUAAAAACAAAGGCAGGCCAUUUGGUUUUGAUGCUGUGUCUGUUUUGGGCAGUGUCUCAGAUUGAAAUCCU
Molecule: long non-coding RNA, 1330 nt
Filed under: Homo sapiens (human)
Lineage: Eukaryota; Metazoa; Chordata; Mammalia; Primates; Hominidae
Description: HSALNT0022076
Source: RNAcentral